UCACCGCCGCCAGCGCCGCGUAGCCGGCUGGCACGUUGGCAUAAUAGGUCGGCGAAAUCUCACGCAGGUUGCGCAGGGUUUCCUCGAAUUGGCCGGGCACCGGACGGCCAUCGUCGAUAUACAGUGUGCCGCCUUCGGUCAGCGCCACAUUGAACAGCGCAUUCCCGCCCAUGGUGUGGUUCCACGGCAUCCAGUCGAGAUAGACACCGUCCGGCGCAUCGUCCGGGCGCGGCCGCACCUGCAUCAU
Molecule: unclassified non-coding RNA, 247 nt
Filed under: Hevea brasiliensis (rubber tree)
Lineage: Eukaryota; Viridiplantae; Streptophyta; Magnoliopsida; Malpighiales; Euphorbiaceae
Source: RNAcentral